AUUGAACGCUGGCGGCAGGCCUAACACAUGCAAGUCGAACGGUAACAGGAAGCAGCUUGCUGCUUCGCUGACGAGUGGCGGACGGGUGAGUAAUGUCUGGGAAGCUGCCUGAUGGAGGGGGAUAACUACUGGAAACGGUAGCUAAUACCGCAUAAUGUCGCAAGACCAAAGAGGGGGACCUUCGGGCCUCUUGCCAUCGGAUGUGCCCAGAUGGGAUUAGCUUGUUGGUGGGGUAACGGCUCACCAAGGCGACGAUCCCUAGCUGGUCUGAGAGGAUGACCAGCCACACUGGGACUGAGACACGGCCCAGACUCCUACGGGAGGCAGCAGUGGGGAAUAUUGCACAAUGGGCGCAAGCCUGAUGCAGCCAUGCCGCGUGUAUGAAGAAGGCCUUCGGGUUGUAAAGUACUUUCAGCGGGGAGGAAGGGAGUAAAGUUAAUACCUUUGCUCAUUGACGUUACCCGCAGAAGAAGCACCGGCUAACUCCGUG
This 490-nucleotide ribosomal RNA is filed under the name uncultured bacterium. RNAcentral describes it as "partial 16S ribosomal RNA". It matches the Rfam family "Bacterial small subunit ribosomal RNA", at positions 30 to 507 of the family's 1533-position model. The record is from RNAcentral.